This is a non-coding RNA of Lactuca sativa (garden lettuce), 1684 nucleotides long. The record is from RefSeq and is a predicted model, not a curated record. NCBI's taxonomy places the organism in Eukaryota, Viridiplantae, Streptophyta, Magnoliopsida, Asterales, Asteraceae.
GCGUUGGGAUAUCAAUUGUCUACGUGUUUUCCAUUCGACAUUCUCUCUUCUCUACUCACCGAUUCUCAUCCAUCGCUUCUUCGUUCUUCUUCUCAGUGAAACCUCACCGCCAUCACCCUAUAGGCGGCCAUCGUUCACCACCACCAACAAUCUGCUUUUUCACCAUUGUUCAUGGGGUUUACUUCGUCAACGAUGCUCACCGCCCCCACAAGUUCCGGAGAGUGCAGCCUUGAUUUUUCAUCAGUUUUUUUUAUCACCAUCAACGACGAGCAAGAGGAGCAACAGCCGCCGUCACUGCAAUUCCUAUUCUAUUGUCUGCGACUCAUUGAUCUUGCGUUUUCUAGUUUUUCUCAUGCCCUAACUCUCGCUCUAUAGGUCAAUUAUGGAAGAUGCAAUUCUGAUUUUGAAGUUUUCGAUUUUUUUGAAUGAUAGAUCAAAUUGGGGAUUUUCUUUUCUUAUCUGACCCUUGAUUUAUAGUUUCUCACAUACUCUGGCGUAUGAGAAGCAGCAUCCAACCGCGGGCACCAUCGCAUCUUCUUCAACCAAAAAUAUAUGUUCUUAAAAACUUAGGUUAGUUUUGAUUUUACCCAGCUCCAAUCUCAGGGAACAUUAGAUGCAUGUUGAUUUUCUGCUCUAAAUUGUUGGUGUAGUUUGACAAUUGAUGUGGUGUUGGGUUUAUAACCCACGUCGGUUGUGUCUGGAGGUUUCUGGCUACAACCCAUUGUUGAUUAUGAUGCGAUUUAGAUCGACCUCCACCGCCACCACCACUCUCAGCAUCGUCAGCCUAAUGACGAAGGUAUCAGCUCUAAUGAAGAAGGUGUUGCCGGCUAAUAAGUAAGGAUCGGGAAAAAAUCAUUUUUCUUUGUGCAUGUGUAUCUUUCUAUCUAUGCCCACCACAUGUUUGCUGGAAUGCCCAGAUAAGUUGUUUCCGGCCCCAUGGUAGAAGCACAUUGUUUUAUUGAACUAUGUUUCGUAAUUGACUUAAAGAAUGAAAAAAGGUCAAAUUCCCAACAUCAACCUAGACUUCAGACACCCUUUUUUCCCGGAUCAAAAACCUGGAAACUUUCAUCUUCCUUCCAUAAUAAAGUAGAUAUAAUUAGCUUUUUUUUUUACUUUCCAGAGGAAGCUAUUGAAUGGACAAAGAUAUACGAAUUGCCUCAUUAUGGAAGGAAGUCAAAGCAGAUAAAGAAACAAUUAAUUGUGCGACCUCCAUAUCCUAAAAUAUAUCUCAAAAAUGAAAUGCUAACGGUCAAUUCGAUUACAGAAGUAUGUGUUGUGAUUGAUGGUGAAUGGAAAGUUAGGGAUUUGGUAGAUUGGUGUAAAGAUGAUUGUUAUUGGUCAGCAAGGAUCAUCAAAAUAUUGAGUGGUGAUGAGGUUUAGAUUGAGUUGCCAAUACCUCCUGCUCGACAAGGGAGGAUUUAUGAUGCAUUUUGUAAGGAUUUACGCACAUCCUUAAACGGUCUCCAUUAGAAGGCUAAACAUUUCCUACCAUGGUUCUUUUCUUUUUUCCUAUACACUGAUUUCUUUUUUUCUUGAUUAUUAUUGUCAUUUUAGAUGUUUGUUUUGAAUCGAAAUCCAUUUGUGUUACAAAUCUAUGAAAUUGUAUGUAUAUAUGAAUGAUUUAUAUUCAUUAAAAACUAUUAAUAUUACAAAACAUGAUAACUAAGCCUUUGGAUUUUUUUAA